GUUCUACCUUGACGAAUUGUAGUUUAAAGAAGUGUUUUCUGUUAGAUGAGUAGCAAAAGUUCCUUGGAAUGGGACAUCAUAGAGGGUGAGAAUCCCGUAUUUGGUUAUUCAUUCUAGCUUUGUGAUACACUUUCAAAGAGUCGGAUUGUUUGGGAAUGCAGUCCAAAAUGGGUGGUAAAUUUCAUCUAAAGCUAAAUAUUGGCGAGAGACCGAUAGCGAACAAGUACCGUGAGGGAAAGAUGAAAAGAACUUUGAAAAGAGAGUUAAACAGUACGUGAAAUUGUCAAAAGGGAAGCGUUUGACACCGGUGUUGUUUUUCCGAAAAUCAAUUACGAAUGGCUUGAUUUUGUGUUGUAUUGACCUUAUCAGCUUUCUGCACUUUUUUCGAGUCUUUCUU
This 397-nucleotide ribosomal RNA is filed under the name uncultured Neocallimastigomycetes. RNAcentral describes it as "eukaryotic LSU rRNA". It matches the Rfam family "Eukaryotic large subunit ribosomal RNA", at positions 127 to 521 of the family's 3401-position model. Lineage: Eukaryota; Fungi; Neocallimastigomycota; Neocallimastigomycetes. The record is from RNAcentral.